GCGCGAGUGGCGGAAUUGGCAGACGCGCCAGAUUUAGGUUCUGGUGCCCUCGGGUGUGCGGGUUCAAGUCCCGCCUCGCGCA
This is a transfer RNA of 82 nucleotides. It matches the Rfam family "tRNA". Rfam says of the family: Transfer RNA (tRNA) molecules are approximately 80 nucleotides in length. Their secondary structure includes four short double-helical elements and three loops (D, anti-codon, and T loops). The record is from Rfam.